Molecule: long non-coding RNA, 1460 nt
Filed under: Coffea arabica (coffee)
Lineage: Eukaryota; Viridiplantae; Streptophyta; Magnoliopsida; Gentianales; Rubiaceae
Description: long non-coding RNA (CARA_LNC002214)
Source: RNAcentral
CCAUUUUGGGUGUUUCAGUGGUGGUCUCAGCAGACCCUUAUGAGCACAAGUCUUCUCCACCACCACCAUAUGAGUACAAGUCUCCACCACCACCCUCACCUUCACCUCCACCAUAUGAAUAUAAGUCUCCUCCCCCACCACCAUAUGAGUACAAGUCUCCACCACCACCCUCUCCUUCACCACCACCAUAUGAGUACAAGUCUCCUCCCCCACCACCAUAUGAGUACAAGUCUCCACCACCACCCUCACCUUCACCUGCACCGUAUGAAUACAAGUCUCCUCCCCCACCACCAUAUGAAUAUAAAUCUCCUCCCCCACCACCAUAUGAGUACAAGUCUCCACCACCACCCUCUCCUUCACCUGCACCAUAUGAAUACAAGUCUCCUCCACCACCACCAUAUGAAUAUAAGUCUCCUCCCCCACCACCAUAUGAGUACAAGUCUCCACCACCACCCUCUCCUUCACCUCCACCAUAUGAGUACAAGUCUCCUCCCCCACCACCAUAUGAGUACAAGUCUCCACCACCACCCUCACCUUCACCUGCACCGUAUGAAUACAAGUCUCCUCCCCCACCACCAUAUGAAUAUAAGUCUCCUCCACCACCCUCUCCUUCACCUGCACCAUAUGAAUACAAGUCUCCUCCACCACCACCAUAUGAAUAUAAGUCUCCUCCUCCACCUUCACCCUCUCCACCACCACCAUAUGAGUACAAGUCUCCACCACCACCCUCUCCUUCACCUGCACCAUAUAAAUACAAGUCUCCUCCACCACCACCAUAUGAAUAUAAGUCUCCUCCUCCACCUUCACCUUCACCUGCACCAUAUAAAUACAAGUCUCCUCCACCACCACCAUAUGAAUAUAAGUCUCCUCCCCACCACCAUAUGAGUACAAGUCUCCACCACCACCCUCUCCUUCACCUGCACCAUAUAAAUACAAGUCUCCUCCCCCACCACCAUAUGAGUACAAGUCUCCACCACCACCCUCUCCUUCACCUGCACCAUAUAAAUACAAGUCUCCUCCACCACCACCAUAUGAAUAUAAGUCUCCUCCUCCACCUUCACCCUCUCCACCACCACCAUAUGAGUACAAGUCUCCACCACCACCCUCUCCUUCACCUGCACCAUAUAAAUACAAGUCUCCUCCACCACCACCAUAUGAAUAUAAGUCUCCUCCUCCACCUUCACCCUCUCCACUACCACCAUAUGAGUACAAGUCUCCACCACCACCCUCUCCUUCACCUGCACCAUAUGAGUACAAGUCUCCUCCCCCACCACCAUAUGAGUACAAGUCUCCACCACCACCCUCACCUUCACCUGCACCGUAUGAAUACAAGUCUCCUCCCCCACCACCAUAUGAAUAUAAGUCUCCACCACCGCCCUCUCCUUCACCUGCACCAUAUGAAUACAAGUCUCCUCCACCACCACCAAUGAAGCCUCCACAUCCACCAUACUACUAUAAUU